This 676-nucleotide ribosomal RNA is filed under the name uncultured Bacilli bacterium. Its description in RNAcentral is "bacterial SSU rRNA". It matches the Rfam family "Bacterial small subunit ribosomal RNA", at positions 58 to 704 of the family's 1533-position model. The record is from RNAcentral. Lineage: Bacteria; Bacillati; Bacillota; Bacilli.
CAAGUCGAACGCUUUUUCUUUCACCGAGAGCUUGCUCCACCGAGAAGAAAAGGAGUGGCGAACGGGUGAGUAACACGUGGGUAACCUGCCCAUCAGAAGGGGAUAACACUUGGAAACAGGUGCUAAUACCGUAUAACAAUCGAAACCGCAUGGUUUCGGUUUGAAAGGCGCUUUUGCGUCACUGAUGGAUGGACCCGCGGUGCAUUAGCUAGUUGGUGAGGUAACGGCUCACCAAGGCAACGAUGCAUAGCCGACCUGAGAGGGUGAUCGGCCACAUUGGGACUGAGACACGGCCCAAACUCCUACGGGAGGCAGCAGUAGGGAAUCUUCGGCAAUGGACGCAAGUCUGACCGAGCAACGCCGCGUGAGUGAAGAAGGUUUUCGGAUCGUAAAACUCUGUUGUUAGAGAAGAACAAGGAUGAGAGUAGAAUGUUCAUCCCUUGACGGUAUCUAACCAGAAAGCCACGGCUAACUACGUGCCAGCAGCCGCGGUAAUACGUAGGUGGCAAGCGUUGUCCGGAUUUAUUGGGCGUAAAGCGAGCGCAGGCGGUUUCUUAAGUCUGAUGUGAAAGCCCCCGGCUCAACCGGGGAGGGUCAUUGGAAACUGGGAAACUUGAGUGCAGAAGAGGAGAGUGGAAUUCCAUGUGUAGCGGUGAAAUGCGUAGAUAUAUGGAGG